GCCCCUCGGUACUAGAAGAUCUGGCUGUGGUCUUCACUUUGUGCAGCAGAAGAGGGCAAACCUGCCUGCAAGUUGAAGCUCCCACGGGCAAGAGCAAGUGUCUUCACCGUCUUUGAAUGCACUCUGGCAUCUCUGUGACCACAGGACCUGAUACCCAGGAGAGCCUGAUGCUUGUUGCAGGGCACAAAUUUCCUCCAAGACGAUGGGAUGGCUUGAUAUACUUCUGUCAGGAGUACCCACAAACCUUUACUGUAUAAAAAAAUAGUCUCAGGAUACCUCCUGCCUAAUGUGAGGAUGCCUCAAAUGCGGCCACUGAUGGGCAUUCCUCAAACAUAAAAAGACGAGCUGGCAGGUGCCUCCAGAGUCCCUGCCUCUGAGUCAUCCCCCCCCCCCUUCUCUUAGGAUCACACUCCCUUCAUGGCAAAGACUGAGAACACUUAAAUAUGUUGGCGUUGUUUAUAAAAUUGUCACUCAGUUGGCCAAUAACAUAGGAGAGGCUGGUGAAGGUCGAAGUUCCUUGAAAAGCUUUGAGAAUGUUCAGCACUAGACUCGGUAUGAGUGAUGAUUAUGCAGGAAGACUCAAGAAAUGCUUUGCAUUGCCCUGUUACACAGGCCCCACCCUCCUCUGCACCUGGCCACGGGGCUUCCUGAUCCAGAGCGUGGAGCGCGCUCCCCUUCUCGCCCUUCUGGUGAAAUCCCAUAGAGUUCUCAAGCUCCAGAUCAGACUUCUGCACCCCUGGGGUGGCUUCUUCCUCUGCACCCCAAAGCAAGUUACACCAGGGGCUCCCCCUGAGCACAAGCAAACAUCAGCUAGGUAUCAUCUAGGAGGCUGAUGUGUGUCCCUCCGUCUCAUGAAUGAGAUGGCUGUGUUUUGUGGAGAUGAGGAAAUACAUCUGUUACGGUGGCCUCCCCGGCACCUGCCAACAUCAUACACAGGCAGUCCCCAAAUUUGCUGGAUGGGAAAAUACAGAGCGUAAGUGGGGAGAGGAAAGGAGAGAAGAAGGGAAUUUGUUUCUGUCUGCCCAUCCAUCUGUCCGUCUGUCUCUGUACGAGUAUGCACAUGUACAUGCUGGUGUGCACAGAGGCCAGAAGAAGACAUUAGAUUCCCUGGAGCUGGAGUUCUAGGAAGUUGUGAGCUACCCCAUGUGAGUGCAGAAAACUAAACGCUGGUCUUCUACAAGACCGAUAAGAGAGCCCUUAACCACUGAGCCCUCUCUCUAGCCCUGGUUCUGUUUGGGUUUUUCAAGACAGGGUUUCUCUGUGUAGCCCUGGCUAUCCUGGAAUUCACUCUGUAGACCAUGCUGGCCUUGAACUCAGAAAUCUGCCUGCCUCUGCCUCCCAAGUGCUGGGAUUAAAGGCAUAUACCACCACUGCUCCGCCCUGGUUCUAUUUAAUUUUUGCAAGUUCAUGACUGUGAAGGGCUUUAUAUUAAUUUUUAAGUCUUUAAUCUUAUUAGAGGCAAUUUUUCAUAAAAUUUAUUUAUUUAUUUAUUUGAGUGUGUGGGUGUUUUGCUUACUUGUAUGUCUGAGCACCACAUGUAUGCAGCACCCAUGGGUGCCAGAAGAGGAUGUCAGAGCCUUUGGGACUGUAGUUACAGGUGGCUAUAUACUGUCAUGAGGGUGCUGGGCAGGGACAAGUAUCAUUGACCACUGAGCCAUCUUCUCUAGUCCCCAAAAUUUACUUAUAAGAUGAAGACAUUUUAGAUUUCUCUAUCCCUUAUCCCCAAUUACCCAACAUUUAAAGCCUAAAUCCAAAUGUCUAAGCUUGAAACUCUAAGAAUGCAGGCCAAUAACCCUUCUAGGGACAAGGUAGGAGCUUGGGCAAUCUGGGCAUAGAUAGAACAGUGGGUGUUGUAGGUCGUCUCCAAGUUCAGAAAGGGAGGAGAAGAGGAGAGAGGACAGCAUCUCAGUAGGAAGGUUCCUGGGAGAAGGACUAGAUCAAUAUGAGCACUGACACCCCAGGCAGGGACCAGUUACAGGGGCAGAGACAAGCAAGGACUAGCUGGCCAGUACUGACCAUGGACAUCUGACAAACACACACACACACACACACACACACACACACACACACAGAGAGAGAGAGGCUUCAGGGCUGGCUGCACCCACUAAGCUUCAUACUCUGACAACUCUAGGGCUCAUCUCCUCCCCCUAGGCUCUCUUCAGCCCCAGUGGAGCUGAGAUGCCCUGAAUACUUAGCAGAGACACUGUAGACCUAACGGCUUCCAUUUCCCAUGGCCCUCCAAGGACCUCUGCAGUGAGGGCUUUCUCUCCUCCACACUCCCGUGGUUUUCCUUUCACUGUGCAAACCACAACUGGUGGUUUUCUGUGCCACCCUUCCUUAUUUCACUUCCCAGCUCUCCCAAUCAACUGUGAAUUCAAAAUGGGCAGAGCCCAUGUGUCUCUUCCCCACCGUUAGCGCACAGUAGGUGGUUAGGAACUGCUAUCGGAAGGUACACAUGUCUGCUUUACUGGCAUCUGGCUCAGCUCACUGGGCUGAGAUGGAUGGGAAAGCCCCAGGGAAGCGAAGACAGUAUUGGGGUUGCUGGUAACCUCCAUUCUAGGAAUGAGAUUCCAAGUCAGCAAGCUCAUUUUUUCUCACAAGCAAAUGAUUCCAACAAAUCCUCAAAAUAGACUUUUCCAAACAUCGCUCGGCAUGACCGUGCAUAGGACUCCAUCAUUUCCCACACAGCUCACUUGGCUCUGAAGAAUUCUGAAGACUUCUAAAAAGGAGUUCAGAGGUGAGGUGGCCCCAACCCCAUGGCAUGCAAAGCAUUAUGGGCAAUGCAGAUUCUCUAUCAAAGUACAGCUUUGAGAAUGGCCUUGGCUGCUGAGGACAGUUAAACCCCAGCAAAUUCUCCUCACCCAAGCAGCAGGAGAGACACAGACAGGACACAAACAGCUGCAAAUACUGAAAAGAAAGGGCUCUCCUCCCCACAGUUCAGUCUGCAGUCUGCCUAUCAUCUGGGGAUAAAUCAAUUUGCAGCAGCUGUAGACAGCCAUUUCCGCGUGAGUCCUACUCUGCUUAACUGGAGAAGCGUGUUAAAAGUUAAAGGGCCUUCAUCACAUUAAAAACCCCAAGUUUUUCUAACCAUAAAUUUAUUUCACUGGAUUCCUGAGCUGUAAAGUCACCCUCCACUCUUUCUUGUAAAUCGGGGGCCAGGGAGUGCCCAUUUCCUGGUGUGUGCCAAUUUGCUGUUUUCCCUGUAAUUAGGAAAAAAUGCAAGUCACUAGGGUUACAAGCCCCAAAGAAGGCAUGGAAUGGGGUCGGUAUUUAAUAUCUGCUUGGAUCUAUGCUUUUAAAGAAAUUCUGUACUAUAUUUGUUAAUUUAUCUUCGAAGGGUGAGGGCGCACAGGUGGAGGUCAGAGAGUAACUUGUGGAAGUCAGAUCUCUCUUUCCACCAUACAGAUCCUAGGAAUCAGACCCACAUCAUCAGAUCUGGGGGUGACUGCUUGAAUCUGCUAAGCCAUCUCAAAAGCCCUCACUCUCUGCUUUUUAAAGAAUGAUUCUGUAGGGUGAUACAAGAGCAGAAAUGAAUCAAUAUGUAAAUACAAGACUACGACACCCAAUGCCAGGCACAGAGGGUUGUUUCCUCCACUCCCUGCCCCAGGUCUGGCUUUUCCCCCCAGGUAUGGCUCUGAUCACCCAGCCACUGAGCAGCAGCGACCAACAUGUGGAGCUGGAAACAAGGCUUUCAAGUAUGUGUGAAGAACCCAGACUAGGACCUAAGGUAUUGGCACUAGAGCAGCAGACCAGGUCCUCUAUAGCCAGUGGCACUUUGCUGAGCCCUGUACCCUUUCUGGGUGGGAACUGCGACACAAACAGCCCAGAGAGUAGCCAUUUCCUGAAUCUUUACUGCUAAAGACAAAGAUCUCUUCCGGUUCCCGUAUUUCUUUCUUGUGAGAGGGAUGCACGUUGCAGAUACUGCUUUCUUUUCCUUGUCCACCCUAAGUUCGGUUUUGUGCCGCCUCAUGGCUUCAUCUGUGGGAAAUGCGUCGCUACAGUCAGCUUGUCCAUGGCAUGAUUACAUCUUACAAAACAGCCUUGCUAACUCACCUUGGUUUUUAGUACAAACGCAGCAGCGCUCACAGGAGCCGCUCCUAUUGUUGAAAAGCCCUCAGAUAAUCCAGAAUUAAAGCUAACACUAAAGGAAAAAGAAAGGAAAGAGCAGUUAGUGCUCGUGUGACCGAAACAUCCCUUUAGCAAGAUUGGAGACACAGGGCUGAGCAAACGCUUUAAGAAUCGGCCUUUUAAAAAGUGGUGUGAUUUUGCCCCUACAAACAAAAACAUGUCUAUUUCCAUUCAUUCUUAAAAUACAAAAGCCAGAACAACAAUAGCCCAGAAUAUCUUCCUUAAUCAGAAAAAGAAAAAAAACAACAACAUUUUUUUAAAGUGCUGUUUUUUGGAAGCUAAACCAUGGGCAGGGGGGACAUUCCCUGUUAGAGGUCUUUCAGUGGCACCUCCCACUCCGAUUUCAGUUACCCAAUAACUCUAAAGGUGAGCCUCAUGGACCCUCCUCGCUCCUGAUCAUCCCCAAGACCCUGGACUUCAUAUUUAAAAUGUCAUUCAGGCUGGCAGCUGCUGAUGGGAGGAGCGAUAAAUAACACUACCUCCAUUUGCACACAAGCCCUGCAGACGCCGCUCCAACUGCUUCUCCGCAGAACACCUUGGGACCCACUAUUGGAAUGCCACCCCAUUUGAUGCCAGGCACCCCACACAUCAGCUUUUAGGAGGGACGUGAGGAGCAGCCUGCCCAAUUGGAGUUGCAAGGGGAUUUAGGAAGACAGAAUGUAAUUACCUGAACUGGAGCUGGGCCAAGACACUAGGGCUGUUAAAAAGAGAAAGAGAGAAAGAGAAGAAAAAAAAAAAAAAGUCAAGAAAAAAAAUAACCUUAAUUCUCCCAGCUGAUAGCAAAAGCCAAGCUUGGGCUUCUUUCUACUUGUGAUUUGGCAGCAUGGGGUGUUUAAAUCAUUACCAAAUAAUAAAUACAGAUAAAACUUCCAAAUGCCAGGGACUUCCUUUCAUACCACUACAGCUCACUGCAGGCGCCUUUGUCUCUGAGUGGGUGGGAGCCUCCUGUGGUGCAUGGCACGGCCUGCUUCCUUCAGUGCCCACUCUGCACAGGCAGCGGGGUCUGUCCACCAGCUGACCAUGCCAUGUCACCGACACAUUUUCCAAAAAGCAGACACUGUAUGCAAGGCCGCUGGGAGCAAGGCACAUAGUGCUUGGUCUGUUUUCAGAGAAGAUUCUUUUCCAACUCUAACCUUAAUGCCAAUGAAACAACUUAGAUACUAAAAUAAUAAUAUCACCCCCAAGAUGUUGAAAUUUUAUGGAGCCGUUUAGCCAGGAAUCUUUUCUUUCUUUUUGGCUAUCUACCCUCCCCCCCCCCAAAAAAAAAAUGGAAAAGAAAGAAAUUUGCCUCCAGGGAUUGUCUAAAUCAACAGUUCUUAACUUGUGAAUCUUGACCCCUUUGGGGUCGGAACCAUCCUUUCACAGGGGUCAACC
Molecule: long non-coding RNA, 5502 nt
Organism: Mus musculus (house mouse)
Lineage: Eukaryota; Metazoa; Chordata; Mammalia; Rodentia; Muridae
Product: predicted gene 45241
Exons: 3
Source: RefSeq, a predicted model, not a curated record